GAAUGUGAUGGUGAUCUGGUUCUGACAGGAUUGAUUCAGCUGAUCUGGAUGGCCAGGCAGAUCAGCUAUCCCUUUCCUCUCUCAACGUUCCAUGUGGAUCCUUCUCAAAACUUCCCCAGACAGAAGAGGAAUGGUCUUCAGUGAAGGAUAGAGAAGUAACCUAGCUCCCCUACUGUAACCUCCAAACAAAUCUUCAGGCUCUUUUUACAAUUUAUUCCUCUCACAGGAUCUUACUGCAGGUCCAAUUCUCUAUACAGUACUAUGUGUCUUGCUU
Molecule: small RNA, 274 nt
Filed under: Mesocricetus auratus (golden hamster)
Lineage: Eukaryota; Metazoa; Chordata; Mammalia; Rodentia; Cricetidae
Description: 7SK RNA (ENSMAUG00000004281.1)
Source: RNAcentral